Molecule: ribosomal RNA, 253 nt
Filed under: uncultured bacterium
Lineage: Bacteria
Description: partial 16S ribosomal RNA
Rfam family: Bacterial small subunit ribosomal RNA
Source: RNAcentral
UACGUAGGGCGCAAGCGUUGUCCGGAAUUAUUGGGCGUAAAGAGCUCGUAGGCGGUUUGUCGCGUCUGUCGUGAAAGCUUGGGGCUUAACCCCAAGUCUGCGGUGGAUACGGGCAGACUAGAGGCAGGUAGGGGAGAACGGAAUUCCCGGUGUAGCGGUGAAAUGCGCAGAUAUCGGGAGGAACACCGGUGGCGAAGGCGGAUCUCUGGGCCUUACCUGACGCUCAGGUGCGAAAGCUAGGGGAGCGAACAGG